GCUGUUUGCUCAGCAAGGGACAGCAUCGUGUUCAGAAAUACCAAGGGGAGAUGCAAUUUUUGGAGAGCAGGUGCCCUCUUGGGAAGAUGUUGCAUCACACAGCUCUCCAAGGCAAGCUAGGAUGCUUGGGCUGGAAGUCUGAUGAGUCUUUCAGAUGCUUCUAGAACUUCAGGACCGAUGGUCUCUGCUAACUUUAGUUGGAAUCAUCAUCAGACGAAAGAGAAGAGUGCGAUAUCCUAAAUGACACCUGUGGUAAAAGAAGAUCCUGGCUUCUUGGGAAGGACUGAAGGCAGCUGAGUGGUGGUAUUGGUAAUGACUGGAAAACUGGAGGGGAAACCCCAGAAGCCAUGCGCACAGUAAGGAUGUUUGUACAGAGGUUUACACACCACCAGGAAAAAAGGAAAAAGAAAGAACUCAGAUCUGCUGAUGAGUCAGC
Molecule: long non-coding RNA, 436 nt
Filed under: Gallus gallus (chicken)
Lineage: Eukaryota; Metazoa; Chordata; Aves; Galliformes; Phasianidae
Source: RNAcentral